Molecule: long non-coding RNA, 2164 nt
Organism: Ruditapes philippinarum (Manila clam)
Lineage: Eukaryota; Metazoa; Mollusca; Bivalvia; Venerida; Veneridae
Exons: 3
Source: RefSeq, a predicted model, not a curated record
CCUCUUCUCACUUUUUUAACAUGCUUAUUAGUCAUAAUUUCUUAAGAUGUUAUUUAACUGUUAUUUUAGAAUAAAAAGAUUAAGGCCUUUACUAUCUAUUUUCAUUGGUACUAAAAAGAUGGUAAAUUGGUAGUGUUCAGUUCCGGGCAAACAUUUUCUUCAAGAGGUUUUUGUCAGAUUGAUGAAUGUGAAAUUAAGAGGACCCAUUUUGAGAAUGCAUCAAGAGAGAUAAAGUCUAAAAUGUGAUACUGUCAAUGUGACUAACCUUGAAGUAAACAGAUGACACAAUGUUUUUUCAAUGUCAUGGGCAUAUAAUGAAGAGAAAACAGAGAUGCUUGUUUGACAGAUACAGUAAUAGUAGGAGUUAUGAGGGAAGAUAGAUUGCAGUGAUAACUAUAUUGAGGCACCACUUCAUCACCAAGAACAUGAGAUGACUUAUCAAUGUUUUCAAUGUGUUUGAACACCCAUUUUAAAUAAUACAGCUCAGAGUGAAUUUUUCAAAAUAAUUAGUUCUGUUUUCAAAGUUUUUUUAUUUAGAUGUUAGUUGAUCUUGUCAAGUACUUUAUUUUUUUAGGGAUGGCAACAAAUACUAAAAUCAAUACUCGAGUACUCGGUCAUUUUUCAGAUCGAGUAUUCGGUUACUCUGAUGAUUUCCAAUGAUCUUUAAAUUUUUAUCACACAAUAUCAACACCAUUUGCAUGCUAUCUUCAUUUUCUAUUUUAAUUCAUAGAAUUUGUAGCUAUAAAUAGGAUUGCAAGAAAUACAUAUAAUAAAUAUAAACAUAAGAAAUGUCAAUGACAGCAUUUAUUAUAUACCUAUAAAUUUUCUUCCUGAAACACAGGAUAAUCUUGAAGCGCAAAUAGGCUUCAACGGUUAGAAAAUUCUGUAUUAUGUUAGAGACAAAUACAGUACCAUAUAUGAAAGGACUGGACUAUUUUUGACGUUGGUUCUGAUCUUAGCUGUGUAUAACGUAGUAUAUGGAAACGGCAACCAAAAUAAUAAAAGGUGUGGCUGGUUUUGCACAAAUUAGGUAUUCAUCUGUCAGUCAUAAUUUAUUUCUUGACAGCUACAUUUCUUUUUCUGAAAUUUCUUAUAUAAGUGUAGUAUAAUGAAAAUCAUUUAUACUUCAAACGAAAAGGUAUAUUAUAAAAGGAAAAUUAUGUUGUAGUAGCUUUCUGAGGCUAUGCAUUUUUCUACUUGCAAUGUUGGAAAAUUGAUAUCUAGCUCGCCCUUUGGUCUCGCAAGAUAUCAAUUUCCCACCGCUGCAAAAUACAAAGCCCCAGAGAGCUACUACAACAUAAUAUUCUGUAUAUAUAUUUAUUUAUAAUUAACAAGUUUGGGCUAUCCUUGAAUUUUUUUUUUUAUUCAAUCAAGUUUGAAUUUUUUAAAAUAAAUUUAUAUGAAUGCAUGCAGCUUUGAAAUAGUUUUUACCUAUGUAUAUUUGGCAGUAAUUUCACAUGUAGCUCUUCGGAAAAAAAAUCACUUGAGCAAAAAAAUUAUAUAGGCAUAAAGUGAUACCCCGUUCUGUCAUCAUCAGUUUUUUUUUUUUGUAUGGUUUUUGUGUCGCCUCUGUCGUCUGUCUGUCCGUCACAAAACUUGUCCGGACUACUCCUCAUAAACUACUGGUGCAAUUUCAUCCAAACUUUACAGGAAUGAUCAGUACCAAAUAUAGUUGUGCAUAUUGUCAGCAUUUUCCGGUUCAUUGAUUUUUGUCAGAGUUAUGGCCCUUUAAUAAUUUUUAAUUUUAAAGUUUGUCUGGACUACUUCUCUUAUACCACUAAUGCAAUUUCAAUGAAACUUUACAGGAUUGAUCUGUAGCUCCAGUCCUUGCGCAUAUUGCACGGGUUUUCGUGUUAAAUGAUUUUUGGCCGAGUUAUGGCCCUUUGAUAAAAAGGUGUUUUUUUCUGUGUGUUGCCAGAUACACUAAACCUUGUCCGGACUACUCCUCAUUAACUACUGGUGCAAUUUUAUCCAAACUUUACAGGAAUGAUCAGUACCAAGACUAGUUGUGCACUGUCCGUCUGUCACAAAAUUUGACCCAACAUGAAAUUGUCCAUCAUGAGGCGACACAUGUGAUUACUGAUCGCUCUUGUAUUUAAGAAAUAUGUUGUUCCAGUUAUUUACAGAUGUUUGUAUGAUUAUUGGAAUAAAUACAGUUAAAGUA